RNAcentral lists this small nuclear RNA (107 nucleotides) under Myotis davidii. The record is from RNAcentral. Lineage: Eukaryota; Metazoa; Chordata; Mammalia; Chiroptera; Vespertilionidae.
GUGUUUGCUUUGGCAGCACAUAUACUAAAAUUAGAACGAUACAGAGAAGAUUAGCAUGGCCCCUGCGCAAGAAUAACAUGCAAAUUCAUGAAGUGUUCCAUUUUUUU